GGUCGAGGGGAAAUCGUAACCCAUAAAGCGUCGCUACUAGUCACAGCCGCGGCAGUAAGCGUCCUGGCGUCCGUCGAGAAUGCGGUAUGCGGUGUACCUCUGCGUCAAGAUUGACACGUGGUUGCUCGAACGAUAUUCGAUACCCAGCUACGUGGUUAAAUCGAACGAUAUUAUAAAUACGUCCAUUUUACUUUUCUUUAAUGUCUCUCUCUCUUUUCCUCUUUCGUAACAUGACUAUUUUUACUUAAUUUGCAACGAUGGUUGUAAAUUGAUAAAUAUAUGUACAAUAAUAGAAUAUAAUCGAAGCAAGUGUUGUGUCUUCUUCUUCUUUGAAAACGCAUCAUUACGUUUUCGUUCUUUGUGAUGUGAAUUGCUUCGUGGGAUUGGUUGCUUACGCGCAAAGAUGAUUGCGGUGAUUUGUCACGAUUUUUCACGGAAGAUCAAGGAGGAUAAGCACAAUCCCAUCCAUUCCCUAUGUGGCCAGAGACACUUGCAUUGUCAUUGUCAGAUGGUGGACCGCAUCCUGGACUAACCCGUGAAAAACAUCAUCAAGAUUUUUUUCUAUUUUAACCUUUAAAAAGAAACCGUCUUAAAAUUCUCGUAUGAAUUUUUAAGAAUCCAUCGUUCCAUAUCGACGAAUAAUAAAAAUUAUUUUUCGAAGGAUAAAUUUCGAAAGAAACUUUUUCAACAUUGAGAAAACAAUGAUGAACACGAAGGGAACACGAUAAAUAGAUAUCUUGAUAAAAGUACAAGCGAAAUAGAAGGAUAUGUCCUGUGAGAAGGCAUCGAGACGUCUCAAGUUCUUGCUCGGCAAGGCGAGGAGAUCUGGUUUGAGCACAGAUGAGAUUGUCGACUUGCCAGCGGCCAAAAGAUUACUGUCCACCCGUGUCACUCCCUUCUCCACCGUAUGGACGAUCUUGGCUAUGCUUGCCUUAAUUCUCGGUGGUGGCGCUGUCCUAAUCUUCUUCUGCGCCCCCUGCGCCGCCAAGAGCAGAACGUGAUCGUCCAUAGAGGUCUACACAAGACAAAAUCUAUCCUUUGGCUCGCGGAGCUAAAUUAGAAAGUAUUUUUAAGAAUUGAUUUAAUUAAUUUAAGCGAGAUAUGAUUGUAAGUUUAUUAAUACUCGUAUAAAAUUGUAAUGAAAUAAUUAAACGAGAAUAAGGGAUAAUCCGUAGUGUCCGCAAUGUAAAAAAUUCAAGAAGAAACGUGAGAAGCCACGAUGUAUUGUAAAAUAGCUGCGUGACUUAGAUCUUCCAUAAUUUUAUCUUAUAUCUUGGAUAAUUUUUUAAAAAAAGGUCGACGAUUUUCGACGAUUUUUAAAAAGUUACGCGUUGUAGUGGAUAAGAAUGGUUAAAUUUGCCUCGAUAACUUCUCGAAAGAUUAUUUUUUCUAAAAUAUUAUUAGGGGACAAGUUUUUUCGUUGAUACAUACAGAGCAACCAUACGACAAUAUGGCGUAUAAAUACGAUAUUACCCAGUUUCCCAACUAUGAAACGCUACGAUGAUGAAAGGAAAUACCGUGUGGAAACGAAUUGAUUUACCCUCGAGUAAAUCGAAUUUAAUUGUCACUCAAUUAAAAUAUUGCUCAAACACAUACGAAUCAUUUUUUAAACGUUGUAUCGAAGCCAUGUAAAUUACUUUUAUAUGUGAUAAAAAUAAAUUUUUAGUAAAUUAGAAAUUAUCUGCUUUUGAUUUCUUCUUAUCGUCGAUCGUGAUAAAAUUAAUUGAACGACAAAGUGUUUCCAGAUUAUUUGUUAAAAAUUAUUCCUCUACCUUUUCCAUUACCUGUUAUGAUAAUCGAUAAUUAUCGUACAAAAUAUUAUUCUCUUAAUUAAUUUUAUAUCGUUAUAUUUCAAACAUGAAAUAAUUUAGCGAGAAAAUCUGAAAACUGAGUGCAAUUAAUUUGACUAUUAUUUUCAACAAGAUGAUAAAUCAACGCAUAUAACACGAAUUAUAAAAUAUCGGUUAAUACCCAAGUCUACUUACGAGCAAGUACAGUUAAAGCAAAAAUUGUGAAUUCUAGCGAAUGUAUAAGGAUUAGCACAUUAGGACAGUUCGAUGAGUUACUUUAAUAAUUUAUUAUUUAAAAUAUAAUAAUAAUGUCAAAUAAUUGCAAUGUCAAACGAAUUAUAAUGAGAUUAUGAUGAGAGGAUUAAUUAUAUAAUUAUAGCUAUAAAUAAAUAUUAUUUAAGCAUUUUAAUACGUAAUUACUUAAAGUAACUUUAUUGGAAAUUUUUAACUACUUACUUUUUUUAGGUUAUGUCUGUGAGUAAGCAUAGUUAGAGCAAAAAUUGUGAAUUCCUUUAGUGACGAAUUUAUAAGAAAAAAUAUAAAUUGUUCGAAAUAUUUUGAUACAAUUAUCUAAAGCGUUAAGGAAAAUCAUAAAGUUGUUAAUGACAUCGAAACGCGUGACGGCUUGUACAGAUGGCAAAAGUCUUUACCGUCUGUUCGCAUGAGCGGAAUCUUUGAUGAUCAGCUGACACGUAAUUUCCUCGCCUUCUUCCUUCAUUCUCACCGUGCAAACGGGCCAAGUUUCCUUCACGAAGGGGAUUCGAUCUUGGCCAUCUCUCGUCGUUCAAACUUAUUCCUUUCAUCCCGUGAAAUCGAACGAUUCCUCUUGGAUUUCAUCUCAACGGUGACGACUCGAGGAAGGAAACGGCUGUCUUUUCUCAAAUUCAACGAUUUUGAAUCACUUUAAUAACGUUGUCUAUUCAAAAUGAAUAUUAACGAGAAAUAUUUUGAAUAAAGGAAGAGAAGUUCAUUAAGAAUCCAUCUAAACACGAAUCGAAGGAUUAUUUGUAGUUAUGGCAGUUGUGCAGGAUCCAUUUGCUAUUCACAGACUUCCUAUUUUGGAUUUCUCCCAUUACAAACGCCAAUUUUGAUUAAGAUCUAGGUAACCAUCGAUUAUCCCCGCGGAUACUGGCCUCCUUUACGAGCAAGGUAAUACCACGGCCAUGUAUGCAUGUCCAUUUGAGAAACACGAAUCUAUUAAUCCGACAUCGAUUAGCAGACUCUCCCAUAUCGUGUUUCGCGUGUUACGGAUGUUCUAUUUGAUAUAUAUAGUGUACUCAUAUUGAUUAUAAUAUACUUCGUCACAAUAUAUUCUUAUGGAUUUAAAUGUAAAAAUUAAUUAUUAAUGUGGAAAUAAAUGUAUUCUCGUAAAUAAUUCUUAUCUAAUAUUGGAAAAAAUCUAUUAUUAUAAUCAUGAAUGUAUUCUUUUUAUUGUUAUUAAAUUGUUCAAAUAUA
Apis cerana (Asiatic honeybee) is the source of this 3245-nucleotide long non-coding RNA. RefSeq lists it as uncharacterized. The record is from RefSeq and is a predicted model, not a curated record. Lineage: Eukaryota; Metazoa; Arthropoda; Insecta; Hymenoptera; Apidae.